RNAcentral lists this ribosomal RNA (406 nucleotides) under uncultured bacterium. Its description in RNAcentral is "partial 16S ribosomal RNA". It matches the Rfam family "Bacterial small subunit ribosomal RNA", at positions 30 to 526 of the family's 1533-position model. The record is from RNAcentral.
AUUGAACGCUGGCGGCAGGCCUAACACAUGCAAGUCGAACGAGUGGCGGACGGGUGAGUAAUGUCUGGGAAACUGCCUGAUGGAGGGGGAUAACUACUGGAAACGGUAGCUAAUACCGCAUACCAUCGGAUGUGCCCAGAUGGGAUUAGCUAGUUGGUGGGGUAAAGGCUCACCAAGGCGACGAUCCCUAACUGGUCUGAGAGGAUGAUCAGCCAAACUGGGACUGAGACACGGCCCAGACUCCUACGGGAGGCAGCAGUGGGGAAUAUUGGACAAUGGGCGAAAGCCUGAUGCAGCCAUGCCGCGUGUAUGAAGAAGGCCUUCGGAUUGUAAAGUACUUUAAGUGGGGAGGCGUUACCCACAGAAUAAGCACCGGCUAACUCCGUGCCAGCAGCCGCGGUAAUUC